RNAcentral lists this non-coding RNA (170 nucleotides) under Clostridium grantii. Its description in RNAcentral is "Lysine sequence". It matches the Rfam family "Lysine riboswitch aptamer". Rfam says of the family: Riboswitches are metabolite binding domains within certain messenger RNAs that serve as precision sensors for their corresponding targets. Allosteric rearrangement of mRNA structure is mediated by ligand binding, and this results in modulation of gene expression. Lineage: Bacteria; Bacillati; Bacillota; Clostridia; Eubacteriales; Clostridiaceae. RNAcentral also lists the same sequence under 1 other name. The record is from RNAcentral.
CUAUUAGGUAGAGGUGCGAUAAUUAAGAGUACCAAAGGGGAGUUAAGCGCUGUGAAACUUUGGAAAAGGAUUUGUCGCCGAAAUAUAUAUCUUAUGCUUUAAGGAUGUAUAUUGGUGUUGCAUAUAAUAUGUGUAAGACUGUCACAAUUCUGUGGAGGGCUAUUAUUAAU